UAACCCAUCACGCCUGGCGUGGUCUUGGGGUUCGCGUCCGGCGGCCCUUGAAAUCAGUGGCGGCGUCCGUUGGGCUCUAAGCGUAGUAAUCUACCCUCGCUUCUGGGCUCCUCGGGUGCUUGCCGUAACCCCAACUUUCUCA
RNAcentral lists this unclassified non-coding RNA (142 nucleotides) under uncultured fungus. RNAcentral describes it as "sequence contains ITS2". Lineage: Eukaryota; Fungi. The record is from RNAcentral.